RNAcentral lists this ribosomal RNA (465 nucleotides) under Vreelandella stevensii. RNAcentral's name for it is "partial 16S ribosomal RNA". It matches the Rfam family "Bacterial small subunit ribosomal RNA", at positions 338 to 795 of the family's 1533-position model. Lineage: Bacteria; Pseudomonadati; Pseudomonadota; Gammaproteobacteria; Oceanospirillales; Halomonadaceae. The record is from RNAcentral.
CCUACGGGAGGCAGCAGUGGGGAAUAUUGGACAAUGGGCGAAAGCCUGAUCCAGCCAUGCCGCGUGUGUGAAGAAGGCCUUCGGGUUGUAAAGCACUUUCAGUGGGGAAGAAAGCCUUGGGGCUAAUACCCUCGAGGAAGGACAUCACCCACAGAAGAAGCACCGGCUAACUCCGUGCCAGCAGCCGCGGUAAUACGGAGGGUGCGAGCGUUAAUCGGAAUUACUGGGCGUAAAGCGCGCGUAGGCGGUCUGAUAAGCCGGUUGUGAAAGCCCCGGGCUCAACCUGGGAACGGCAUCCGGAACUGUCAGGCUAGAGUGCAGGAGAGGAAGGUAGAAUUCCCGGGGUAGCGGUGAAAUGCGUAGAGAUCGGGAGGAAUACCAGUGGCGAAGGCGGCCUUCUGGACUGACACUGACGCUGAGGUGCGAAAGCGUGGGUAGCAAACAGGAUUAGAUACCCUAGUAGUC